RNAcentral lists this long non-coding RNA (704 nucleotides) under Rattus norvegicus (Norway rat). RNAcentral's name for it is "long non-coding RNA NONRATT021822". The record is from RNAcentral. Lineage: Eukaryota; Metazoa; Chordata; Mammalia; Rodentia; Muridae.
CUGAGCGGAGGGGCUCGGCCCCGGUCCACUGUCUGGGUGCACGGAAGUUGAGGGGCGAGGUCUUCUACUCUCCAGCAAACUGGAACCAAUUCCUGGCGGUUCCCUGGAGGGUCCUGGCUGUGCGUGUCAGGACGCCUCUCCGCGGCCUUCCUCCGUGAUGAAGUACCCACCAUGAUGCAGUACCCACCAUGAUGCCUGCAGUACCCACCAUGAUGCAGUGCCCACCAUGAUGCAGUACCCACCAUGAUGCCUGCAGUACCCACCGUGAUGCAGUGCCCACCAUGAUGCAGUACCCACCAUGAUGCCUGCAGUACCCACCGUGAUGCAGUGCCCACCAUGAUGCAGUACCCACCAUGAUGCAGUGCCCACCAUGAUGCAGUGCCCACCAUGAUGCAGUACCCACCAUGAUGCCUGCAGUGCCCACCAUGAUGCCUGCAGUGCCCACCAUGAUGCCUGCAGUGCCCACCAUGAUGCAGUACCCACCAUGAUGCCUGCAGUGCCCACCAUGAUGCAGUGCCCACCAUGAUGCAGUACCCACCAUGAUGCCUGCAGUACCCACCGUGAUGCAGUGCCCACCAUGAUGCAGUACCCACCAUGAUGCCUGCAGUACCCACCGUGAUGCAGUGCCCACCAUGAUGCAGUGCCCACCAUGAUGCAGUGCCCACCAUGAUGCAGUACCCACCAUGAUGCAGUGCCCACCAUGA